RNAcentral lists this transfer RNA (75 nucleotides) under Lepidophyma flavimaculatum (yellow-spotted night lizard). Its description in RNAcentral is "tRNA-Leu (UUR)". It matches the Rfam family "tRNA". Rfam says of the family: Transfer RNA (tRNA) molecules are approximately 80 nucleotides in length. Their secondary structure includes four short double-helical elements and three loops (D, anti-codon, and T loops). Further hydrogen bonds mediate the characteristic L-shaped molecular structure. tRNAs have two regions of fundamental functional importance: the anti-codon, which is responsible for specific mRNA codon recognition, and the 3' end, to which the tRNAs corresponding amino acid is attached (by aminoacyl-tRNA synthetases). tRNAs cope with the degeneracy of the genetic code in two manners: having more than one tRNA (with a specific anti-codon) for a particular amino acid; and 'wobble' base-pairing, i.e. permitting non-standard base-pairing at the 3rd anti-codon position. Lineage: Eukaryota; Metazoa; Chordata; Lepidosauria; Squamata; Xantusiidae. The record is from RNAcentral.
GUUGGGGUGGCAGAGACAGGUGACUGCAAAAGAUCUAAGCCCUUUAAAUCAGAUGUUCAAAUCAUCUCCCCAACC